AGUGAACGCUGGCGGUAGGCCUAACACAUGCAAGUCGAACGGCAGCACAGUAAGAGCUUGCUCUUACGGGUGGCGAGUGGCGGACGGGUGAGGAAUACAUCGGAAUCUACUUUUUCGUGGGGGAUAACGUAGGGAAACUUACGCUAAUACCGCAUACGACCUACGGGUGAAAGCAGGGGAUCUUCGGACCUUGCGCGAUUGAAUGAGCCGAUGUCGGAUUAGCUAGUUGGGGGGGUAAAGGCCCACCAAGGCGACGAUCCGUAGCUGGUCUGAGAGGAUGAUCGGCCACACUGGAACUGAGACACGGUCAAGACUCCUACGGGAGGCAGCAGUGGGGAAUAUUGGACAAUGGGCGCAAGCCUGAUCCAGCCAUACCGCGUGGGUGAAGAAGGCCUUCGGGUUGUAAAGACCUUUUGUUGGGAAAGAAAAGCAGCAGGUUAAUACCCCGCUGUUCUGACGGUACCCAAAGAAUAAGCACCGGCUAACUUCGUG
This 492-nucleotide ribosomal RNA is filed under the name uncultured bacterium. RNAcentral's name for it is "partial 16S ribosomal RNA". It matches the Rfam family "Bacterial small subunit ribosomal RNA", at positions 29 to 507 of the family's 1533-position model. The record is from RNAcentral.